This 249-nucleotide unclassified non-coding RNA is filed under the name Glomus sp. RNAcentral describes it as "partial contains 5.8S ribosomal RNA and internal transcribed spacer 2". The stretch from base 1 to 71 matches the Rfam family "5.8S ribosomal RNA", at positions 84 to 154 of the family's 154-position model. Lineage: Eukaryota; Fungi; Glomeromycota; Glomeromycetes; Glomerales; Glomeraceae. The record is from RNAcentral.
GUGAAUCAUCAAAUCUUUGAACGCAAAUUGCACUUUCUGGUAUUCCGGAAAGUAUGCCUGUUUGAGGGUCAGUUAAAUAAAAAUCGUUGGUGUUGCUGCUGUUCGUUGGUACGCUUCUGAGUGGAUUGGUCUUACUUUCGGUUAAGUGACUUAAAAUUUUGCGUGAGUUUCGGACGUAUUUAAAUUUCUUACGUACGUUUGAGAGAUCGAUUCCUUUAUUAGGUUCGGUCAUCUUCAUGAUUCGCACCG